RNAcentral lists this ribosomal RNA (2930 nucleotides) under Escherichia coli. Its description in RNAcentral is "23S ribosomal RNA". It matches the Rfam family "Bacterial large subunit ribosomal RNA". The record is from RNAcentral. Lineage: Bacteria; Pseudomonadati; Pseudomonadota; Gammaproteobacteria; Enterobacterales; Enterobacteriaceae.
GGGUUGUGAGGUUAAGCGACUAAGCGUACACGGUGGAUGCCCUGGCAGUCAGAGGCGAUGAAGGACGUGCUAAUCUGCGAUAAGCGUCGGUAAGGUGAUAUGAACCGUUAUAACCGGCGAUUUCCGAAUGGGGAAACCCAGUGUGAUUCGUCACACUAUCAUUAACUGAAUCCAUAGGUUAAUGAGGCGAACCGGGGGAACUGAAACAUCUAAGUACCCCGAGGAAAAGAAAUCAACCGAGAUUCCCCCAGUAGCGGCGAGCGAACGGGGAGCAGCCCAGAGCCUGAAUCAGUGUGUGUGUUAGUGGAAGCGUCUGGAAAGGCGCGCGAUACAGGGUGACAGCCCCGUACACAAAAAUGCACAUGCUGUGAGCUCGAUGAGUAGGGCGGGACACGUGGUAUCCUGUCUGAAUAUGGGGGGACCAUCCUCCAAGGCUAAAUACUCCUGACUGACCGAUAGUGAACCAGUACCGUGAGGGAAAGGCGAAAAGAACCCCGGCGAGGGGAGUGAAAAAGAACCUGAAACCGUGUACGUACAAGCAGUGGGAGCACGCUUAGGCGUGUGACUGCGUACCUUUUGUAUAAUGGGUCAGCGACUUAUAUUCUGUAGCAAGGUUAACCGAAUAGGGGAGCCGAAGGGAAACCGAGUCUUAACUGGGCGUUUAGUUGCAGGGUAUAGACCCGAAACCCGGUGAUCUAGCCAUGGGCAGGUUGAAGGUUGGGUAACACUAACUGGAGGACCGAACCGACUAAUGUUGAAAAAUUAGCGGAUGACUUGUGGCUGGGGGUGAAAGGCCAAUCAAACCGGGAGAUAGCUGGUUCUCCCCGAAAGCUAUUUAGGUAGCGCCUCGUGAAUUCAUCUCCGGGGGUAGAGCACUGUUUCGGCAAGGGGGUCAUCCCGACUUACCAACCCGAUGCAAACUACGAAUACCGGAGAAUGUUAUCACGGGAGACACACGGCGGGUGCUAACGUCCGUCGUGAAGAGGGAAACAACCCAGACCGCCAGCUAAGGUCCCAAAGUCAUGGUUAAGUGGGAAACGAUGUGGGAAGGCCCAGACAGCCAGGAUGUUGGCUUAGAAGCAGCCAUCAUUUAAAGAAAGCGUAAUAGCUCACUGGUCGAGUCGGCCUGCGCGGAAGAUGUAACGGGGCUAAACCAUGCACCGAAGCUGCGGCAGCGACGCUGAUGCGUUGUUGGGUAGGGGAGCGUUCUGUAAGCCUGCGAAGGUGUGCUGUGAGGCAUGCUGGAGGUAUCAGAAGUGCGAAUGCUGACAUAAGUAACGAUAAAGCGGGUGAAAAGCCCGCUCGCCGGAAGACCAAGGGUUCCUGUCCAACGUUAAUCGGGGCAGGGUGAGUCGACCCCUAAGGCGAGGCCGAAAGGCGUAGUCGAUGGGAAACAGGUUAAUAUUCCUGUACUUGGUGUUACUGCGAAGGGGGGACGGAGAAGGCUAUGUUGGCCGGGCGACGGUUGUCCCGGUUUAAGCGUGUAGGCUGGUUUUCCAGGCAAAUCCGGAAAAUCAAGGCUGAGGCGUGAUGACGAGGCACUACGGUGCUGAAGCAACAAAUGCCCUGCUUCCAGGAAAAGCCUCUAAGCAUCAGGUAACAUCAAAUCGUACCCCAAACCGACACAGGUGGUCAGGUAGAGAAUACCAAGGCGCUUGAGAGAACUCGGGUGAAGGAACUAGGCAAAAUGGUGCCGUAACUUCGGGAGAAGGCACGCUGAUAUGUAGGUGAAGUCCCUCGCGGAUGGAGCUGAAAUCAGUCGAAGAUACCAGCUGGCUGCAACUGUUUAUUAAAAACACAGCACUGUGCAAACACGAAAGUGGACGUAUACGGUGUGACGCCUGCCCGGUGCCGGAAGGUUAAUUGAUGGGGUUAGCGCAAGCGAAGCUCUUGAUCGAAGCCCCGGUAAACGGCGGCCGUAACUAUAACGGUCCUAAGGUAGCGAAAUUCCUUGUCGGGUAAGUUCCGACCUGCACGAAUGGCGUAAUGAUGGCCAGGCUGUCUCCACCCGAGACUCAGUGAAAUUGAACUCGCUGUGAAGAUGCAGUGUACCCGCGGCAAGACGGAAAGACCCCGUGAACCUUUACUAUAGCUUGACACUGAACAUUGAGCCUUGAUGUGUAGGAUAGGUGGGAGGCUUUGAAGUGUGGACGCCAGUCUGCAUGGAGCCGACCUUGAAAUACCACCCUUUAAUGUUUGAUGUUCUAACGUGGACCCGUAAUCCGGGUUGCGGACAGUGUCUGGUGGGUAGUUUGACUGGGGCGGUCUCCUCCUAAAGAGUAACGGAGGAGCACGAAGGUUGGCUAAUCCUGGUCGGACAUCAGGAGGUUAGUGCAAUGGCAUAAGCCAGCUUGACUGCGAGCGUGACGGCGCGAGCAGGUGCGAAAGCAGGUCAUAGUGAUCCGGUGGUUCUGAAUGGAAGGGCCAUCGCUCAACGGAUAAAAGGUACUCCGGGGAUAACAGGCUGAUACCGCCCAAGAGUUCAUAUCGACGGCGGUGUUUGGCACCUCGAUGUCGGCUCAUCACAUCCUGGGGCUGAAGUAGGUCCCAAGGGUAUGGCUGUUCGCCAUUUAAAGUGGUACGCGAGCUGGGUUUAGAACGUCGUGAGACAGUUCGGUCCCUAUCUGCCGUGGGCGCUGGAGAACUGAGGGGGGCUGCUCCUAGUACGAGAGGACCGGAGUGGACGCAUCACUGGUGUUCGGGUUGUCAUGCCAAUGGCACUGCCCGGUAGCUAAAUGCGGAAGAGAUAAGUGCUGAAAGCAUCUAAGCACGAAACUUGCCCCGAGAUGAGUUCUCCCUGACUCCUUGAGAGUCCUGAAGGAACGUUGAAGACGACGACGUUGAUAGGCCGGGUGUGUAAGCGCAGCGAUGCGUUGAGCUAACCGGUACUAAUGAACCGUGAGGCUUAACCUUACAACGCCGAAGCUGUU